UAUAACUGGAGGAAGGUGGGGAUGACGUCAAGUCAUCAUGGCCCUUACGACCAGGGCUACACACGUGCUACAAUGGCGCAUACAAAGAGAAGCGACCUCGCGAGAGCAAGCGGACCUCAUAAAGUGCGUCGUAGUCCGGAUUGGAGUCUGCAACUCGACUCCAUGAAGUCGGAAUCGCUAGUAAUCGUGGAUCAGAAUGCCACGGUGAAUACGUUCCCGGGCCUUGUACACACCGCCCGUCACACCAUGGGAGUGGGUUGCAAAAGAAGUAGGUAGCUUAACCUUCGGGAGGGCGCUUACCACAUUUGUGAUUCAGUUCAGGAAAAAUGAGAAAAACAACCA
This 342-nucleotide ribosomal RNA is filed under the name Salmonella enterica subsp. enterica serovar Enteritidis. RNAcentral describes it as "bacterial SSU rRNA". It matches the Rfam family "Bacterial small subunit ribosomal RNA", at positions 1158 to 1502 of the family's 1533-position model. The record is from RNAcentral. Lineage: Bacteria; Pseudomonadati; Pseudomonadota; Gammaproteobacteria; Enterobacterales; Enterobacteriaceae.